UUUCGCAAUGCCCGAAAGGGUGACGAAGCGACGCCCCGUGUGGGAAGAAGGCCUUCGGGUUGUAAACCACUGACGGGAGUUAGGAAAUGUAAGGGUGCUAAUAGUAUCCUUACUUGACUAAGGCUCCGGAGGAAGCCACGGCUAACUCUGUGCCAGCAGCCGCGGUAAUACAGAGGCGGCAAGCGUUGUUCGGAAUUAUUGGGCGUAAAGAGCACGUAGGCGGCCUUGUAAGUCAGUUGUGAAAGCCUUCUGCUUAACGGAAGAACAGCAGCUGAUACUGCAAGGCUAGAGUGCGGAGGGGGAGAGUGGAACUUCUGGUGGAGCGGUGAAAUGCGUAGAUAUCAGAAGGAACACCGGCGGCGAAGGCGACUCUCUGGUCCGUAACUGACGCUGAGUGUGCGAAAGUUAGGGGAGCAAACGGGAUUAGAUACCCCGGUAGUCCUAGCCGUAAACGAUGGGCACUAAGUAGAGGGGUUUUA
RNAcentral lists this ribosomal RNA (479 nucleotides) under uncultured Planctomycetota bacterium. RNAcentral's name for it is "bacterial SSU rRNA". It matches the Rfam family "Bacterial small subunit ribosomal RNA", at positions 364 to 833 of the family's 1533-position model. Lineage: Bacteria; Pseudomonadati; Planctomycetota. The record is from RNAcentral.